AUACAGAGGGUGCAAGCGUUAAUCGGAAUUACUGGGCGUAAAGCGCGCGUAGGCGGCUUGGUCAGUCGGAUGUGAAAGCCCUGGGCUCAACCUGGGAAUUGCAUUCGAUACUGCCAAGCUAGAGUAUGUGAGAGGGAAGUGGAAUUUCCGGUGUAGCGGUGAAAUGCGUAGAUAUCGGAAAGAACACCAGUGGCGAAGGCGACUUCCUGGCCCAAUACUGACGCUGAGGUGCGAAAGCGUGGGGAGCGAACAGGAUUAGAUACCCUUGUAGUCC
This 274-nucleotide ribosomal RNA is filed under the name uncultured bacterium. RNAcentral's name for it is "partial 16S ribosomal RNA". It matches the Rfam family "Bacterial small subunit ribosomal RNA", at positions 523 to 796 of the family's 1533-position model. The record is from RNAcentral.